GGCACUUAUCUUUCGCUUCUGAGACACCGAAUAAAGGAAGAAGAAGAACAACUACAACAAGAAGACCUCCGCCUAGUUAAAUGUGAUUUUUAUACACACGCAGCAGCGGAACUCCAGCUGUAGGGCUCAGAGGACCAAUAUGUUUAUGUUAUGAAUGACUGACGGGCCAAGAUGCGCCCGCUGCUUCCCCCAAGUCAUGGAGAAAUUAAGAAACUCAACAGGUUGCACAGGGAUUGUGUGCCCACUACAGUAUUCAGGGACUAUGCAGAACAGCACUAUCUCCAGCAGGGAGCACAGAGCUGUGGGCUUUGUGCUUGUGCAUGCAGGAGCAGGGUAUCAUUCGGAAUCCAAAGCCAAGGAGUAUAAACAUGUGUGCAAGAGAGCUUGUCAGAAAGCUGUGGACAGGCUGAGAGCUGGAGCCAUGGCCCUGGAAGCAGUGACGGCAGCUCUUACAGAGCUAGAGGAUUCACCAUUCACCAACGCUGGUACAGGCUCCAACCUUAACCUCUCUGGGGAUAUUGAGUGUGAUGCGAGCAUAAUGGAUGGGAAGUCAUUAGAAUAUGGAGCAGUUGGAGCUUUAAGUGGAAUCAAAAACCCAGUGUUGGUGGCCAGAAGACUACUGAGUGAAGCACAGAAAGGGAAGCUUUCAGCUGGCAGAAUCCCUCCCUGCUUUUUAGUGGGAACAGGCGCACAGCAAUGGGCUCUCACUCACGGAAUACCUCCUUGUCCUUCAGAGAAGAUGGCCACCAAAUUUAGUUUGUCAGCGUACAAAAGGAACAAACGGAAGAUGGAGCUGGCAGAGAAAAUAGAGACAGAACAUCAUUUUUUGAAGAGACAACGAACGUCAAGUGGAACUGUGAGUGAAAUUGUAGAGCCUAUCUCCUCGUCCUUGGACACAGUGGGGGCAAUCGUUGUGGAUCAGGAAGGGAAUGUGGCAGCUGCUGUCUCCAGUGGAGGUUUGGCCAUGAAACAUCCAGGGCGAGUGGGCCAGGCUGCUCAUUAUGGCUGUGGCUGCUGGGCUGAAAAUGCACAUGAUGCCAGAACUUACGCUACAGCUGUAAGCACCUCAGGAUGUGGUGAGCAUCUGAUACGCACUAUGCUAGCCAGAGAGUGUUCCACAGCUGUGCAGGCUGAAGAUGCACAUCAAGCCCUCCUGGAAGCUAUGCAAAACAAGUUCAUAGGUUCCCGAUUCCUGGCCAGUGAGGAUGGUGUUCUGGGUGGGGUAAUUGUUCUAAGGUGCUGUAAAUGUGGAGAUGAUCAGAGUUCUGAGAAUCUCCAGGCUUUGCUGGUAGAGUUCCUCUGGAGCCAUACUACAGAAAGUAUGUGUGUGGGUUACAUGUCUGCGCAUGACAGUAAAGCCAAGACUCAUAUAUCCAGACUGCCUCCUGGAGCUGUGGCUGGACAAUCACUGGCGAUCGAAGGUGGUGUGUGUCGGCUGGGGGCCACAAAUGAUUGAAAGCAGAUAAAAUCCCCUUUUUUCAGCAGCAAUAUGCUCAUCGUAAUCAAGACAAAGUCUUAUCAAUGGAGGGUGUGCAAGGUGCCAACAAUCAGACAGGGAGGCUGAAGAAGUGGAGAUUCAGAAAUUCUGGAGGACCAGGAUGACUAAGACAUGCAUAAAUAUGCAACCUUUGAAAACAGAAAUGUAGAGAUGUUCAGUGAACAAGGUCUCCACACUCUUUGCUUGACAGUAUAAUGCACUGAUGCACAGUUAGAAAACACAUUAUUCAGUAACAGAUGGGGCCUGUAGGGCCUUUGAGGUCUUCAGAGAAGGCCUAAUGAUUUCUGGGAUCUGAAAAAAAGUCUAUAAUUUUUAGUUCAAUUUUAUUCAAUAGACAAUAAAUAAAUAAAUAAAACUCUUACAAUUAUUACAGCACUGCUCUUGUUUCAUUGUAAAGUGUUGGAUGAAAACAAAAGGGUUGUAUUCUUGAAACACCAGCAGAAAAUUGACUAAUCAUGAUUUUUUUUCCUGUGGUAUCUUGGUAGAUAUAGUUGAGCAAGAUCUCCUGGUAGGAACUGGAGCGCAGUCCAUUCUGGAAGUCCCAGAUAUCUCACUGACUGAAUAUGAUUGGCAGCCUAAUCAAUGGGAAUAUAAAAAUGAAAAAUAGCAGUAGUGAAAAACUCUAUUCUAGAGUUUACUAUGGAAACGUCUCUUUGAAACUGCCAGGUAAAAUAUAUGCUGAUAUGUCUGUUUCAAGCUUCAAGUUAAAAAUGGAAUGUCUUUCAGAAGCUUUGAAUUUUUGUUUUUUAUCUAGAACUGCUAAAACAUAUUAAUGUGAAUUACCAUUAGUGCUAAAAAUGCUACUAGAAUUCCAUAGGGCCACUAACAGAAGCUAGCAUUAUCCUGGAGGUGGGUUCAUGUUUUGACAUUUGUCUCUCAGGUGGAAAUAUAUAGUAAUAUAUUUAGCUACACAACAUUUUUUUUGUUUCUACUUAUGUACUUGUACUAAUGUACCUUUCACACGUCAGGGUUUUUCCUUUCCAUUGUUGGAGUCCUGCAGCCUCUGUAUGGUUCUGAAUAAAGAAAUGGUCUCUGCAUGUCUCUGAAUAAAGGAUGUUCUUUUAUAACACUCUGUGUGAGACACACUGACAACCUAAGACCUGAUUUCCUCUUCGCUCUCUCUCCUCUCAAAAAUAGUACGAAGACAUGAAGCAGCUUAGUAAAUGAGGCCACAGAAACAGAUCUGUGAAGACUCAAGGGGAGGUGACGUUCAAAGAACUCAGUAACUUAUAACAUAAAUAAUAUGCCAGCAUCAUUGUGGUGAUUCCUGUAUAAAGACCAUGUCACCUACAUU
Pygocentrus nattereri (red-bellied piranha) is the source of this 2792-nucleotide RNA transcript. It is a transcript of the gene named taspase, threonine aspartase, 1, with no coding region annotated. The transcript is spliced from 15 exons. NCBI's taxonomy places the organism in Eukaryota, Metazoa, Chordata, Actinopteri, Characiformes, Serrasalmidae. The record is from RefSeq and is a predicted model, not a curated record.